GCUGAAGAACGUAGUGAAAUGCGAUAAGUAAUGUGAAUUGCAGAAUUCAGUGAAUCAUCGAAUCUUUGAACGCACAUUGCGCCCGUCAGUAUUCUGGCGGGCAUGCCUGUUCGAGCGUCAUUACGCCCCUCAAGUCCCCUGUGGACUUGGUGUUGGGGAUCGGCGAGGCUGGUUUUCCAGCACAGCCGUCCCUUAAAUUAAUUGGCGGUCUCGCCGUGGCCCUCCUCUGCGCAGUAGUAAAACACUCGCAACAGGAGCCCGGCGCGGUCCACUGCCGUAAAACCCCCCAACUUUUUAUAGUUGACCUCGAAUCAGGUAGGACUACCCGCUGAACUUAAGCAUAUCAAUAAGCGGAGGA
RNAcentral lists this unclassified non-coding RNA (358 nucleotides) under soil metagenome. RNAcentral describes it as "partial contains 5.8S ribosomal RNA, internal transcribed spacer 2, and large subunit ribosomal RNA". The stretch from base 3 to 120 matches the Rfam family "5.8S ribosomal RNA", at positions 37 to 154 of the family's 154-position model. The record is from RNAcentral.